CAGACCAGCCUGGCCAACAUGGUGAAACCUCAUCUCUACUAAAAUUACGAAAAAUUAGUCAGGUGUGGUGACGGGUGCCUAUAAUCCCAGCUACUUGGGAGGCUGAGGCAGUAGAAUCGCUUGAACCCGGGAUGCGGAAGUUGCAGUGAGCCAAGAUCACGCCACUGUACUCCAUCUUGGGCGACAGAGCGCAACUCUGUCUCCAAAAAAAAAAAAAAAAAAGGGCAGGGGGAGCGGCUAGAGAAGGAACAUUCAAAUCUUCCCACGUGGGCAAGUUCCAAGCAAAUGUUUAUUUUUUUACCUCCUCUUUGGUUUUUGUCUCACUUGAAGCACUUUGUGUUUAUGGGAAAAUACCAAAAAUUACCAAAAUUUAAAAACCCAGGGCUUUGCUGGAAGUGAGGGUAUCUUCUUGGCUUUUCCCUUUUCCUCCCCACCACUAUACGCACAUGCACACACAGCUCUAUUUUUUGGUGCUUUUCGUUCAUUAUUCACUCCAUUUCAUUUUAGCUCUUGAAGUCAAAAUGGGAUUCCAAAGAGCAAAAUAGAAGUUUGGAGAGUUUGAAAUCUCUCCUCGUGGCUGGACGCCGUGGCUCACACCUGUGAUCCCAGCACUUUGGGAGGCCAAGGCAGGCAUACUGCUUGAACUCAGGAGUUCAAGACCAGCCUGGGGAACAUGGUAAAACCCUGUCUCUACAAAAAAUAGAAAAAUUAGCUGGGCAUGGUGGCUGUAGUCCCAGCUAUUUGGGAGGCUGAGGUGGGAGGAUCACUUGAGCCUGGGGAGGUUGAGACUGCACUGAGUCUUGAAUGAAUGAAUCCAUCUCUCUUUCUCUCUCCAUAUAGUCAAAGAGAACCAAAAAUGUAUGUGCUUUUUUUGUGAAAUUGUUAAGGAUUCCAUGAUCCUACUAAAAUUUUUGAUAAUGAUAAUUUCAAGUGGAGAAUAUAUAAAGGACUCGUGAGGCCUUCCUACCUCAUUUUCUGAGGUUAUGUUGACUUUAAUAUCCAAUGUAUCAUAGGUGUUUUCUUUUUUCUCUGACAAUUGUUAUGUUAAAAACAAAAAGAAGCACAUACUGUACAGUCAAAACUAUCAGACGUAACUCUGUGGGAAACUUUAUUCCAAGGGUGCUGCCACUGCCCUUGUUUUAAAUAUUUUUGGAACUUCAUUUCUCUUCAGGUCUAUUUAAUAAGCUUGUUAGGAAUAUUGUAAAUUAUUUUAGAAACACAUUGUGGUCUCAGCCUCAUGUGGCAUUGCCACUUGUUACUACAUGACCCCCCCACACCCCCUAAAAAAGAAAAAGGACUUUAAAAACCCUCUCAGGACAAACAUUUGCUACCGUGGUUGAUUUUUUAAUUUUACAUUAACUAUUUAAUAUCAGACUAUAACUAAAAUACAAGUAGUGGAAUUAUACUUUUAUAAAGUAUCAAAUUAUGUAGAUGAUGACGAAGUUAUAAGGUUACUAUAAUUUCCAACUUCACCCAUAGGUCAUGGUAUAGU
This 1492-nucleotide long non-coding RNA is filed under the name Homo sapiens (human). RNAcentral describes it as "non-protein coding lnc-SLC24A4-1:2". The record is from RNAcentral. Lineage: Eukaryota; Metazoa; Chordata; Mammalia; Primates; Hominidae.